GGGCGGGUCGGGCGGUCCACCGGCAACGGUGUGUACUGCUAAUCGGCCUGCUCCUUCCUCCCGUGGAGCCUCGUUUGCCCCUUUAGUGGGGCGCGUUGCCUUUCCCGGGAAUUUUACUGUGAAAAAAUUAGAGUGUUCAAAGCAGGCAUAUCCCGCCUGUAUACAUUAGCAUGGAAUAAUAGAAUAGGACCGUGGUCCUAAUUUUGUUGGCUUUCAGGACCGCAGUA
RNAcentral lists this ribosomal RNA (227 nucleotides) under uncultured fungus. Its description in RNAcentral is "partial small subunit ribosomal RNA". The stretch from base 101 to 227 matches the Rfam family "Eukaryotic small subunit ribosomal RNA", at positions 739 to 864 of the family's 1831-position model. Lineage: Eukaryota; Fungi. The record is from RNAcentral.